This 581-nucleotide ribosomal RNA is filed under the name uncultured bacterium. Its description in RNAcentral is "bacterial SSU rRNA". It matches the Rfam family "Bacterial small subunit ribosomal RNA", at positions 102 to 669 of the family's 1533-position model. The record is from RNAcentral.
ACGGGUGAGUAACACGUGGGCAACCUGCCCUUGAGACUGGGAUAACUUCGGGAAACCGGAGCUAAUACCGGAUAAUAUAAGGAACCUCCUGGUUCCUUGUUGAAAGAUGGUUUCGGCUAUCACUUAAGGAUGGGCCCGCGGCGCAUUAGCUAGUUGGUGAGGUAACGGCUCACCAAGGCGACGAUGCGUAGCCGACCUGAGAGGGUGAUCGGCCACACUGGGACUGAGACACGGCCCAGACUCCUACGGGAGGCAGCAGUAGGGAAUCUUCCACAAUGGACGAAAGUCUGAUGGAGCAACGCCGCGUGAGUGAUGAAGGCCUUCGGGUCGUAAAGCUCUGUUGUUAGGGAAGAACAAGUGCGAGAGUAACUGCUCGCACCUUGACGGUACCUAACCAGAAAGCCACGGCUAACUACGUGCCAGCAGCCGCGGUAAUACGAAGGUGGCAAGCGUUAUCCGGAAUUAUUGGGCGUAAAGCGCGCGCAGGUGGUUUCUUAAGUCUGAUGUGAAAGCCCACGGCUCAACCGUGGAGGGUCAUUGGAAACUGGGGAACUUGAGUGCAGAAGAGGAAAGUGGAAUUC